GGUGAACGCUGGCGGUAUGCCUAAUACAUGCAAGUCGAACGGCAGCACAGUAAGAGCUUGCUCUUACGGGUGGCGAGUGGCGGACGGGUGAGGCAUACAUCGGAAUCUACUUUUUCGUGGGUGAUAACGUAGGGAAACUUACGCUAAUACCUCAUACGAUCUACGGGUGAAAGCAGGGGUUCUUCGGACCUUUCGCGAUUGAAUGAGCCGAUGUCGGAUUAGCUAGUUGGCGGGGUAAAGGCCCACCAAGGCGAGGAUCCGUAGCUGGUCUGAGAGGAUGAUCAGCCACACUGGAACUGAGACACGGUCCAGACUCCUACGGGAGGCAGCAGUGGGGAAUAUUGGACAAUGGGCGAAAGCCUGAUCCAGCAAUACCGCGUGGGUGAAGAAGGCCUUCGGGUUGUAAAGCCCUUUUGUUGGGAAAGAAAAGCAGCAGGUUAAUACCCCGCUGUUCUGACGGUACCCAAAGAAUAAGCACCGGCUAACUACGUG
Molecule: ribosomal RNA, 492 nt
Filed under: uncultured bacterium
Lineage: Bacteria
Description: partial 16S ribosomal RNA
Rfam family: Bacterial small subunit ribosomal RNA
Source: RNAcentral